CCAGAAAGUCAGGGGCCUGCUGACUCACUGGAACAGAACGUCCUGUUUCUUUUCUAUUUCCCGGUGGAUUCUCUAGAUUUAUGGCAGGAUUCAAGGGCCCUGAGAACUUUUUGAGGGCUUCCUGCCCACCAGCACAGAACCAGCCCACAUAACAGAUCCUCAGAGAGGAUUCUCGGAGACUCACACUCUCUGGAAAAAUGGCCAGUGUGAGGUCCAUGAAGACCCCUAAGAGCCUUCAAAGCAAACUGCGCUGUCCUCACCAUAUAACCUGGGUCCCUCUCAUUGUGCCACACGGCCUCACUCAAACACGGAAUGCCUCUUAUGAGGAUGGACCAGGCCUGUUUUUCAGGUGAAUCAAAGGAGGGUCCCCAAAUCUUGGAAACAGAAAAAGAAACUGAUACAAGGCACAGGUAAGAGGGCUGAACCCUUGUCCUUUAUUCUAGCUUGAAAAUAAAUGCUGAACAAUGCUCACUUACCACUCCAUUCACCCACAAAGAAGAGGCAAGUGAGAAGUCAAAGGAACAAAUAGCCUAGCUUGAAACCAGGUCUGCCUGAUACCCUCUGCCUCCUGAAUGGACUAGUUGAUCUUGGUAAUUCAAUCUGAAACCGCCAGCACCACAGAUUGGCUCCUCACAUUUCCUUCCCUUUGCUUCUGGUUGUCCCAGUUAAUACAAAUAGUCCCAGAUGUCCAGCUUCCUGCCAUGGCCCCAGCUUGCUCCACGCUCCUCCUCUGCCCUCUCGGAGGAGGGGCCGCAUCCCCAGGUUCGUUCAAUCAUCUUAGAAAAGGGAAGAGUGAGAAUUUGACAGGGCCUCAUACUCCCGGUAGUCACUCUCCCAUUCUAUGUGUAGGCAGCACUUUAGCUAGUGCUAAAGGAAGUUUACCGGGGCCUUGGAGAAAUUGAAAAGGCUGUGUGACCUUGGGCUAGCCCUUGGCCCUCUCUGGGCCUCCAUACUCUGAUCAGUAACACUGCAGAAUGAGGGGACUGCUGUGUGGAAAGAGCAUUGCACUGGGAGGGAAAGCCAGGAAGCCCCUCUUUGGCUAUUUGGGGCUCUUGUUAUUACUACAAAUUAGCAAUAGGUCACCAGCAAGUCAUGUAACCUCUGACUACCAGCGUCUCAAUCUGUAAAACCGAGACAGUAUCACUUCAGGCGGUUGCUGACCAAUUGUAUGAGACAAUGCAUGGCUAUGUCCUGUACCUGGAAUCAUUGUUUCUCACUACUGCAUUUUUCAGAGUUUGGAUAAAGUGAGCUAAUAAUCCAGUUGCCUUUUUAGAAGUGCUGGUGGUGUUGGAAAGGGCUGUGAUCGAGUGAGUGUCAGGACAGAGCCUCUUCUGGGAGACGUAUUCAGUGGCCCAGGCCUGGCUCGCCCCCCACCCAGUUAAGUGGAGACCUGGGGGGGCAGGGCUGGAAUGGCCUGGGUGUGCUUGGGAGGUGGGGUAAGUGCAGUCACCAAGGGUGACAGGCAGCUGCAGGAGUUCUGGGCCCUUAUAACUGGAGGAAGGAAUUCAGGAAGAGCUCACAGCCACUCAGACAUCUUGGAGCCUAGUCCCAGGCAGGACCAAGGCGGCAGCACCCAGGGUUGGGAUGCCGUGACCUGGCUCCUGGGGCGGCCCCCAGGUCAGGAGACCAUGGAACCACACACAACCAGAGCUGUUGUUCCAGAAAAGCCCAGGCUCCUCCAAGCUCAGAGAGUCUUGAGCGCACAUCUUUCAGGACAGCGUUUCUUCAGAGACGGCCGGUGGAGUUGACCACAGCUCUCAGAAGCCUGGCUAGACUUAGGAGACAGUGACAGAGGCUGCAGAAGUGCCAUGCGGAGUGCCCAACGGCCUAGCGGGGUCACGACCCAGGACCUCAGACCAGUAUCUUCUUAGAAGACUGCAGGGAGAGUGGCUGGAAGAGCCGGGUACCUGUCACCACCAACAGCCCCAUUUCGGAUGGGGAGCUGAAGCUCCAGGACUCACCCCAAGUUGCCCAGCACGCCAGCUGCCACACAGGGCCAUGGAAACGGCAGUGAUUGGCGUAGUGGCAGUGCUCUUUGUGGUUACUGUAGCCAUCACCUGCGUCCUCUGCUGCUUCAGCUGUGACUCGAAGGCCCAGGAUCCUCAGGGGGGCCCGGGCCGCAGCUUCACAGUGGCCACAUUUCACCAGGAGGCCUCUCUCUUCACAGGGCCAGGUGGCCAUGCCCAGGCAGUGGCGGGUGCCCGGGACUUCUGGACCUUCAUGUGAGGCCUAACGGCCCCCAGGAUUUGCUCUGCUGGUGGGUCAGACUCACCUGCCCCCCAACAAGCCUUCCCUGACGCCCCACUCCUCCAAGUCGGGCAUUCCUGUCCUUCCCUGCCUGUAUCCAGCAAACUGUCUGUUGCAUCCAUGUCAUUCUGGUUGCUGCGCCCCGGGAGAUCCACAGUGGUGGGACCAGAUGGGAGUCAGCCCUGACCCAUGAGAGCUCAGCUGGACCCUACCCACGGUAUGGGGCUUACGAGAGGUCUGAAGAGUGAGUGACUGAACAGUGUUGGAUUGCACGGUGGGCCAGGUUUCUGAUCCACAGGGGAACUGGAAUUUAAUGUAAAAAGAGUUCCGUUAACUCAGGUUAACCCCAGGAUGCCUACGCAACUGUUCCUAUUGCCACCAGAGGAAGCAGCUCCCUCAAGUGGACAUUUUUACAACCCACUUCUUACCUGCUCCCCUAAUUGAGUCUUUUGGCUGCUUGCAUGUGCACAUCCCACAAAGCCCAGCCCUGAGACCUGCCCCUGCCAGUUGCCUGAAAUCAGCCCUGAAAUUCUGAAACCAAAGGGCUACUUCCUGAGAACAAGUGAUUUAUUUUAUAAUUGAAAAUGUAUAUCCUUUUAUGGGUCUCCCAAGAGUCAGGGUUGGAAAACCACAAAAGGAAACAGAAGAGAAAAUCAGAGUCACGGAAAGUAUGAGGUAUUUUAUUAACAGGAAAGCCGGAAAGAAGACUUUAAACACAUUUGGAAUGAGACUUAAUUACUCUUUUCUUAUUGGCCACUUCUAUUAGAGAAUGUGACUUGAGUCACUUCGAACGACAGAAAAUCAGGAACUCAAAGACAGUGCCAUAUGAGUUAAAAUGUUACACUGAGAGCAUGAACAAAGCUCUUGUUUCCAUCACAAAUAAAGAAAGGCUCAGAUUUUUUCAUAGAAAAUCUGCUUUCUCUGUACCCAUGAAAUAAAAGCUCUGCCAUGUUUGGAGUAUAGUUUGAAGGGUA
Miniopterus natalensis is the source of this 3221-nucleotide non-coding RNA. The record is from RefSeq and is a predicted model, not a curated record. Lineage: Eukaryota; Metazoa; Chordata; Mammalia; Chiroptera; Miniopteridae.